AGACGAAUAUGACAGCUUGCUGUGAGAGACAACGAUCUUUUGUGGUGGAGCAGGACCGGCAAGGAAAGGUGAAAAAAGGGAAAACCUGAAACAAAAGAAUAAUGUAGUCGUGCUCAUGGGGUGCAGGCACACGAUUGUUUGGAGCAGACACAGCAGUCAGAUUGUCCUGCAUGUGUUCUUCUGCUCUAGCUUCAAGGUUGUGUGGUUCAGAGAGCUGUCAUCAAGGUCUUCCUCAUCCUGUUGCUCAACGACAUUCCCGUCGAGAAGAGUGAGACUGUGAAGCACAGCAGCAGAACUGUAUGAGCUGUGUUCAGAUGGCAGGAGGGUGUGGGGUUCACCAUCUGUAAACACGUGAUUGUUAGAACAAUAAGUUUGAGUGAAGCUUUGUAUCAUGUGUUGUUGACUUUUACAUGUAUGCAUUUAUUUCUUCUCCAAAGGUGAGAUCUUCGAGCAGCUGAACGAAGUACCCUUUGUGCAGAUAUUGCAGAGUCACUGUGAGGUGUUAGUGCACCUGACCCUCUUUUUUAUUAUUAUUGCCAAAUUAUUACAUAAAAGAUCAUGGUAAGACGGUUGUAUCUAACAAUAAACAAUCAUAAUGCCAUAAAACAGUAAAUA
Long non-coding RNA from Carassius carassius (crucian carp), 615 nucleotides. RefSeq lists it as uncharacterized. The record is from RefSeq and is a predicted model, not a curated record. NCBI's taxonomy places the organism in Eukaryota, Metazoa, Chordata, Actinopteri, Cypriniformes, Cyprinidae. The transcript is spliced from 4 exons.